AAAGGGUGCGUAGGCGGCCUGUUAAGUCAGGGGUGAAAGACGGUAGCUCAACUAUCGCAGUGCCCUUGAUACUGAUGGGCUUGAAUGGACUAGAGGUAGGCGGAAUGAGACAAGUAGCGGUGAAAUGCAUAGAUAUGUCUCAGAACACCGAUUGCGAAGGCAGCUUACUAUGGUCCUAUUGACGCUGAGGCACGAAAGCGUGGGGAUCAAACAGGAUUAGAUACCCGGGU
RNAcentral lists this ribosomal RNA (230 nucleotides) under uncultured bacterium. RNAcentral describes it as "partial 16S ribosomal RNA". It matches the Rfam family "Bacterial small subunit ribosomal RNA", at positions 562 to 791 of the family's 1533-position model. The record is from RNAcentral.